This 468-nucleotide ribosomal RNA is filed under the name uncultured bacterium. RNAcentral describes it as "partial 16S ribosomal RNA". It matches the Rfam family "Bacterial small subunit ribosomal RNA", at positions 39 to 523 of the family's 1533-position model. The record is from RNAcentral.
GCGGCAUGCCUUACACAUGCAAGUCGAACGGCAGCACGGGUGCUUGCACCUGGUGGCGAGUGGCGGACGGGUGAGUAACGCGUAGGAAUUUGCCUUGUAGCGGGGGAUAACUUGGGGAAACUCAAGCUAAUACCGCAUAAGCCCGAGAGGGGAAAGCUGGGGAGCAGAAAUGCCCUGGCACUAUGAGAUGAGCCUGCGUUGGAUUAGCUUGUUGGUGGGGUAAUGGCCCACCAAGGCGACGAUCAGUAGCUGGUCUGAGAGGAUGAUCAGCCACAUUGGGACUGAGACACGGCCCAAACUCCUACGGGAGGCAGCAGUGGGGAAUAUUGGACAAUGGGCGCAAGCCUGAUCCAGCCAUGCCGCGUGAGUGAUGAAGGCCUUAGGGUUGUAAAGCUCUUUCGUCCGGGACGAUAAUGACGGUACCGGAAGAAGAAGCCCCGGCUAACUUCGUGCCAGCCGCCGCGGUAA